Long non-coding RNA from Panicum virgatum (switchgrass), 703 nucleotides. RefSeq lists it as uncharacterized. Lineage: Eukaryota; Viridiplantae; Streptophyta; Magnoliopsida; Poales; Poaceae. The transcript is spliced from 2 exons. The record is from RefSeq and is a predicted model, not a curated record.
UGGCCCGUUUUCCUCACUCUUCUUUCUCCGGGAAAGAGUCUUGGUGAGUGAGGAGCAGCGGUCGGUCAGGCCUGAAUGGCGAGCCACCAAGAGAAGCCCACCACGCCGCCGCCGCCGCAACCACAGGCGGCCGAGGGCGGCUGCGCCCGACCCCGCUUGCCCGGCGGCGGCCGAGUGCACGCGGGGGGCGCUGGAUACCCUAACCCCCCGGAGGCCGCGGUCCCCGACGCGGCGACGCUGCGGGACCAGUGGCGGUUCGCCGUGCGGUAGUACAGCCGCUGGUACUCCCACGCCUGGGGCACCGCCAUCCUCGCCGGCGCCGCCUUCUUCGCGCUCGGGUGGCUCGUCAAGGGCUCCGACCCGCUCCCUUCCCGAGCCGAGCCCCACGACACCAACGCCAGUGGCGCUGCCAAGGAGGAGAGGUGACUGAUAUUCCAUUCCUUUCCACCUAUGGAGUUCAAAUGGGCUGUUAAUGGUGAAGGGAGAUAGUUCAAGCCAGAAGGGAGAUAUAGUGUGGCUUGGAGUUGUGAUCUAUGCACUUGUUCCAGGGCAGUGAUCUGUUUUCUGUUCCUCUGCUGUUGUAUAUUUUCAAAAUAAGGAGGUCUAACCAUGCUUUAAGUUAGGCUUUUGAAGAUUUUGUAAAAAUACGAACGAGAUGUUACUGAAUCAAAUGAUAAAAGAGUUGCAUUAUCGAUUCCUUGUA